CUACGGGUGGCUCCAGUGGGGAAUAUUGCACAAUGGGGGAAACCCUGAUGCAGCAACGCCGCGUGGAGGAUGACGCAUUUCGGUGUGUAAACUCCUUUUAUAUCCCAAGAUAAUGACGGUAGGAUAUGAAUAAGCACCGGCUAACUCCGUGCCAGCAGCCGCGGUAAUACGGAGGGUGCAAGCGUUACUCGGAAUCACUGGGCGUAAAGGGCGCGUAGGCGGGUUGUCAAGUCUUGAGUGAAAUCCAACGGCUCAACCGUUGAACUGCUUGAGAAACUGGCAGCCUAGAGUGAGGGAGAGGCAGAUGGAAUUGGUGGUGUAGGGGUAAAAUCCGUAGAGAUCACCAGGAAUACCCAUUGCGAAGGCGAUCUGCUGGAACUCUACUGACGCUGAGGCGCGAAAGCGUGGGAGCAAACAGGAUUAGAUACCCGGGUAGUC
This 438-nucleotide ribosomal RNA is filed under the name uncultured bacterium. RNAcentral describes it as "partial 16S ribosomal RNA". It matches the Rfam family "Bacterial small subunit ribosomal RNA", at positions 339 to 795 of the family's 1533-position model. The record is from RNAcentral.